AGGUCAGAACGAAGGCACCAUUUCCGU
RNAcentral lists this non-coding RNA (27 nucleotides) under Mus musculus (house mouse). The record is from RNAcentral. Lineage: Eukaryota; Metazoa; Chordata; Mammalia; Rodentia; Muridae.